Marmota monax (woodchuck) is the source of this 1716-nucleotide long non-coding RNA. RefSeq lists it as uncharacterized. The transcript has 3 exons. NCBI's taxonomy places the organism in Eukaryota, Metazoa, Chordata, Mammalia, Rodentia, Sciuridae. The record is from RefSeq and is a predicted model, not a curated record.
CAUCCUAGGCCCGCCCACGGAGGAAUUCGACCAAUAGAAGCCGGGGGUCGGGGGUGAGGAGACGUUGCUGGGUCAGGAAGCAGGGGGUGAACGGCCUGGCGCUGCCGAGCAAACCCCGGUGUCAGGAACCCUCCCCUGGGGAGCAAAUGGGGUGCGGUGGAACCCAGAGUAUGUACCUAAGUUGCUAAAUCUGACCUUGAACUUGGAAUCCUCCUGCCUCAACCUUCUGAGUCACUGAAAUUGCAGUAGGAAGAAUGAUAUAAACAUGAAAAGACAUCAAUGUAUGCUUCAAAUAUGGCAAGAAAAGAAUAAGGACUGCUGCUUACAAUUGCCUGGGUUCAGGAUUUCACGCUGGAAGGAAUUAGAAAUAAAUUCUAUUUUCAUAGUUCCAAUACAUAUCUCUUGGGAAAUUUCCAAAAAAGGUAAAUUACAGUGAAUUAUAAAUUUAAUUUUUGGUUGAUCUUCACUUUUUAUUGCGUUUUUUUCCCAUCCAGUACUAUUGUUCUUACUUGAUUCCAAAGUGAUUGAGGUACUGAUUGAUUGUUUUUUGUUCACUUUGCAAAAUAGCUGUCUUGUGAUAGUGUCUGUGUUUUGUAUUUGUAGGAAAACAGCUGAAACCUGUUACCAGUUUCCUCUUUUUCUUAGAAAUCUUUCAUUUAAGCUAGGCAUGGUGGCACACACCUGUAAUCCCAGCAACUCAGGAGGCUGAGGCAGGAGGAUCACAAGUUCAAAGCUAAAUUCAGCAAUUUAUAAUUUAGUGAGGCCCUAAGCAACUUGUUGAGACUCUGUCUCAAAAAUAAGUAAUAAAUGAAUGAAUGAAUAAAUAAAGGGCUGCCAAUGUGGUUCAGUGGUUAAGUACCCCUGGGUUCAAUCUCUGGUUCCCCCUCCCAAAUAAAUCUUUCAUUUAAAAUUAAAUUAUUUUCCCAAAUAUGGUUUAAUGCUUUCUUUUUUUUUUAUAGCUUUAAUUUUUUUUUUUUGUACCAGAGAUUGAGUGCAGGGGUGCUUAACCACUAAACCAUAUCCCUUUUUUCAAAUUUUUUGUUUUGAGACAGGUUCUCACUAAGUUGCUGGGGGCCUCACUAAGUUGCUAAGACUUAGUUGCUUUUUGAACUUGGAAUCCUCAUGCCUCAGUGUCCCAAGCCACUGGGAUUACAGGCAUGCACUACCCCACCUGGCCUUUAAUUUUUAUUCUUAGAAAUCAGCUUUCUUCUUUUUUUUUUUUUAAGAGAGAGAGAGAAAGAAAGAGAGAGAGAGAAUAUUUUAAUAUAUUUUUUUUUAGUUCUUGGCGGACACAACAUCUUUGUUUUUGUAUGUGGUGCUGAGGAUCAAACCCGGGAUGCACUCCUGCCAGGCAAGCGCGCUACCACUUGAGCCACAUCCCCAGCCCCUCAGCUUUAUUCUUUAUGUUUUAGAUUUUUAUUUCUUGGUGGAAAUUUAAGACAGAUAUAUAAAGGAGAAAACAAAAACUGCCCAGAGGUGACUCCUGAGAACAUUUUAGUAUGUCUUUCAAAGAGAGAUCUAUCUAGUGUGUCUCAAACAAUAUCUACUUAGUUGAACAAAGGAGUCUCUGAAAUGUCAGUGCUCUACUUACUUAUAGCAGGAAGUCAGGUCUUUUCCUGGCAUGACCCUUCAUGAUUAAUGUCAGCAGAAAUCUCUAGCCAUGAGGGCUUCUUAUAUUGCUGCCUGAAGCCCUGUAGUUCUUUUAGCUUUGGAGUC